RNAcentral lists this non-coding RNA (21 nucleotides) under Arabidopsis thaliana (thale cress). The record is from RNAcentral. Lineage: Eukaryota; Viridiplantae; Streptophyta; Magnoliopsida; Brassicales; Brassicaceae.
CAGCUGUCAAUGGAUUCUGUG